CUCUUUCCUUGGCUGCUCAGGUCAUAGGUGCUGCAAUCUAGAGACAAAAUAUUCCUUACACUGCCAGAUACUUGCAAACUAAGGGGAACGAGCUUCCCUCUGAAUGUUUAUGAAGGAGAGACCACUGUGUCAUCUGUCUUAGAGCUAUUGGAAUCCUGGAUCAUUGUGGGAAAUGAAAAGAACUGGUUUUUAGCAAGGAGACCAAGAAACUCUACUCCCUAGGGGCUAGCAAUGAGAGAAAGGAAGCCUUGAGUCUUUGAGCACAGGGUGACAGUUUGGGUCCUAUGUGAGAUGAUCAAAUCCACAGCAACAGAGGAAAGGACAAAAGGAAAAGGUCUGUAGCAGCACUACAUCAGAAAAAAUGGAUUCCGCAAGGAAGUGGGUGACUCUGAAUACUUCGAUGGAAUCAGCAGCCAUUGAUCCAAUGCCAACUCCAAGACUGGAACGUCGCAAUGAUAGUUCCAAGGCGGAAAUUUGACGUAAUUCUUUUCGACACAGUUUUACAGGCAUCUUGCAUGUGAAUAACUCACAACUUUAAUUCAUGGAACAAAUUGAGAAAUAGUCUUUUGGGGGUUUGGUACUCCCUGGAAACAUAAGAGUGCUUUGGGCACCUCUGGUGCCUUUCCAUGCCUGCCUUCUCUGCUGUUCUUGCUACUAGUGAAUUCUAAAUCAUGGCCAAGUGAUGCCAGCACUGGAUAAUAUUGGCUCUGCCCCAUAUCUCGAGGGAAAACUCUGGGACUUGGCAUUAUAUGUGUGGGAAUCUGGCCUUGGUUGGCACUCCCAGCAUGAUAGCAGGGUUCUGCUGUCUGAAUGUACUCUGGGGUGUGCGCCACAAUUUCUGUCAUCGAAAUGGAGAUGAGAGAAUAUGCCCUUGGUGGGGACACCCCACUGGAAUUAGAGUGAAGAGAUCAAAGCUAGAGGUUCUUAAAUCAAAGAAUGUCUAAUAGCAAAGACAAAAACUUGCUUAAGAGAAAUGCAUACAGGUACUAGACCUAAUAUGAUGAAAAAUGCUAACUUCAACAUAUUGAUGCAUGCUUAGUAUACUUUUAGUCCUGCAAAGACAAAAGUUUUUUGUUUGUUUUUUUUUGAGACGGAGUCUCGCUCUGUCGCCCAGGUUGGAGUGCAGUGGUGUGAUCUCGGCUUACUGCAAGCUCUGCCUCCUGGGUUCACACCAUUCUCCUGCCUCAGCCUCCGGAGUAGCUGGGACUACAGGCGCCCGCCACCACGCCCGGCUAAUUUUUUGUAUUUUUAGUAGAGAUGGGGUUUCACCGUGUUAGCCAGGAUGGUCUCGAUCUCCUGACCUCAGGUGAUCCGCCUGCCUUGGCCUCCCAAAGUGCUGGGAUUACAGGCAUGAGCCACCGCACCUGGCCCAGUCCUGCCAAGACAAAGUUUUAAAACACAGGUUGCACAUUGGCAGCUCUCAAGCCAAAUCUGGCCCAUAGACAUGGUUUGCUUGGCCUAUAAUGUUAGUAAUACUUGACCCAAGAUUUAAAAUUUGAAAAGUUUCAUAUAAAAAUAUAGAUUUACAGCUUUUCUAGAAAAACUAUAAGAGUUAACAGUUUCUGAAUUGCAACAGCAGCUGGAACACCGUUGCCACUGACCAUUUAGAUGACUGCUGCAGUCCCCACGGCUCACUCUGGUUCAGGUAGGGGUUCUAGUUUGUAACCCCUGGUUUAAAACAUAACUGACUCUCUAGUUUUUAAAAUUCUCUCAAAAUCAAAUAACCUGAACUAGCAAAUGAUCUAGAUCCUCGUACAUGGAACUCAUACUAAGUUGACCACAGACAGUGGCUCCCAAACUCUGCAGUACAUCAGAGUCACUGGGAAGCUUUAAAAAAUCCUGCUCCCUAGCUGGGUGCAGUGGUUUAUGCCUGUAGCCCCAGCUACUUGAGAGGCUGAGGUGGGAGGAUUGCUCAAGCCCAGGAGUUUGAGGCUGCAGUGAGCCAUGAAUGUACCACUACACUCCAGCCUGGGCAACAGAGCAAGACCCCAACUCUAAAAAAAAAUCCUGCUCCCCAGGUGACAGUAUCUGGGGGAAGGAGUAAGGCAUCUUAUUUUCAAAAGAUCAUAAGAAAAGAGGCUCAUUGCUGAGGCUCACUCCGGAGCCCACUUGGAUUCUUCACAAGAAAGUUUCCCUCUUCCAGAAUUUUAUAAUUGAGGGAACCGACUAGGGAAAGAUUAAUUUGCCCAAGGUCAAACAACUAGUAAAAGAAGUAAGGAUUCCAACCCAGAUCUUUUGACUCUAUUAUCCUUACAUAUAGUUUUAUAGUGAUUUAAAUUGAUACAAGGAUAGGUUUAAAUACAAGUAGAAUGCAGGUUCAUAUAAAACUGAUUUUAUCCUCAUGUUAGAAAACAUAUACACUGUAACAGAGGGAUGACCAUCAAGUGACCAAGAUAUUUUAGUCAAAAGAUGAAUUUUUCUGCAAUUGGAGAAUGCCAAAAAUAUUCAAAGAAAAUAUAAGUCUUGUAGGCAGUCUUCUAUCAAAACCCACUGAACCGCUGGGCACGGUGGCUCAUGCCUGUAAUUCCAGCACUUUGGGAGGCCAAGGCUGGUGGAUCACCUGAGGUCAGGAGUUUGAGACCAGCCUGGCCGACAUGGUCUCUACUAAAAAUACAAAAAAUUAGCUGGGCCUGGUGGCGGCACCUGUAAUCCCAGCUACUGAGGAGGCUGAGGCAGGAGAAUUGUUUGAACCUUGGAGGUAGAGGCUGCAGUGAGCUGAGAUAGCACCACUGCACUCCAGCCUGGGUAACAAGAGUGAAACUCCAUUCAAAAACAAAAAACAAACAAAAAAAAAACAAUGCACCAAAUACUAAGUUAUUAACUAGGAUACUGAUUAUUAAGCAUGUAAAACAUUUUAUGGAACUCAGAGUUUGAUGUAAAUUGCUAUAUUUUAUAAUUCAAACAAACCUUGUUUCAUGUCAUUAUAUUAGAGUAGCAUUAUGAGACAGGAUAUAGUGUAAGCUAUAUCCCCAAUAUAAUUGCAACUGUAUAUUUUAAAGCAUGGGGAAAAUAUGAAAAGAAUUAUGCUCAAAUGUGGGUAGGAUUAUAACUGAUUUGUUUUCUUCAUUUUCAGAUUUUUCUAUAAUGACUAUACAUUAUUUUUAUAGUCAAAAAUAGAAGUAUUUUAAAUGUUUCUAGGUAGAAUAGCAAAUUAGCUGAAAUAGUAUCUCCAACGUUAUUAUCAAGACUAGACUCCUUGGGUAAAUUGGUCAGAACAGUGUUGUUCUCAUUUUACACCUCUCCAAGAUUAACUAUGUUUUAGAUUUGUGUGUGUGUUUGGUUAAAGAGCCAGGAUGAAGAUCCAGAGUUCUUAAACCUGUAUACCACCAUACUACAUUGUCAUUUUAAAGAAAUGUCUAGUAGACUCGGUGGCAUAAACAUGGGCCAUUUACAAACUAGAUGUCUAAUAUCAGAUACCUCAAAUUUGACAGUAGACUUUUUUUCAAAGCUAAAGUGGUCUUAUGUUGACUAUUUUGUUUCUUACUUGAUACUUGUUUACUUUUUAAUUUUUGGCAAGUAAUGUUUCAAGUUAAAGUUUUAGCUAUAUAUAGCAGGCAGUAUUUCAAGUAAAUGAGUUACAUCAGUAAACACCUCUGUAUUACUAAACUGAGAAUCAGAAAAUGUAAUCUCUUUGGCAGGAUUCGUAUGUUUGUAUCACGUCUUUAUCCUCAGGCAACUUUUAUCUUGGAAUACUGAACCAGCAGUCAGAAUAUGAGGGACAUUAGACUGUGUUAUAGUUACUGUUCUGUCCUUAAGUCACUUGCCUUCUCUAAGUGUCAGUUGCCUCAUCUGAAAAUGGAGUUAGCAGACCCCAGCCUAUCCUGAGUUUGAGGGCUAAAGGGAAUUAUUCUUGAAAAUGUCUAUACAUGAUAAAUGUCACAAAUAUAACUUAGCAUUUUUUUUUUGAGACAGAGUUUCGCUCUUGUGGCCCAGGUCGGGGUGCAAUGUCGUGAUCUCAGCUCACUGCAACCUCUGCCUCCCGGGUUCAAGCGAUUCUCCUGCCUCAGCCUCCUGAGUAGCUGGGAUUACAGGCAUGCACCACCACACCUGGCUAAUUUUGUAUUUUUUAAUAGAGACGGGGUUUCACCAUGUUGGUCAGGUUGGUCUCGAACUCCUACCCUCCGGUGAUCCACCCGCCUUGGCCUCCCAAAGUGCUGGGAUUACAGGCAUGAGCCACCGCACCUAGCCAAUUCUACUUCUAUUACAUUUUCAGCAUAUAUCACUUCAUUGCUCCUCCAUAUUAUUUUUCACUGGUCUUCUUACAUCUUGUGUGCCCAUAUUUAAGUAGUUUUCUUUCCAGGUAAAAAAUACAUGUGUGCCUAAAAGAUUUUAAAGUCAACUUUUCAUAAACCAUACCUAAAUUAUCAAAGUUAUUAGAAUUAUUAGAAAGUAUUAGCUAAUUCUUUUAUAAAAUGUAGACUUUAUUAUUUUAGAAAUAUUGAUUCCUCUCUAUUCAGCUAUCUUAAAGAGGGUAUAUUUUAAUCAUCGCAAUAUAUUACCUUCAUAGUAUUUUUUACUUUUGCAAAGUAUAUUUUGUCAUGUUAUUUCAUUUAGGAAUGCACUAAAUCUACAUAUCUACAUAUGAUUAUACAAGGAAACAUCUUUGUCUCAAAAAUGGGUUCUAUUACAUUUUUUAAUUUCCAGGGGUCAUGAUAUAUAAAAAGACCUGAUUUAUCUUAAAAAUACAUACUUUUAUUCUUACCUACCAUACAUCUUUUUUUGUGAUAAUCAGAAGGCUUAAUUUACUAUAAAAUAGGAAAACAACAGCUAUGUUAGAUUAUAUAGUUAAUUUAGGGAUUAAAUGAGUUAAGGUCUACAAGCCCCUGGCACAUGGCAGACAAUCAAUAAUUGAUCAUUUCCUUUGCAUCUAUAAAUUUGUUCAUUCACUUCUCAUGUGGUUCUACCUUAGACAACGAUUUUUGUUUACAGAGACAAAUAGAAGUAUCUAAUCCUAAAUAACCCAAUCAAUUGGUAAAGGCUACACUACAAAGCUGGCAUGACUUCACCAAAUGCUAGAGAAACAGUGUUAAGAGUGACAACACUAAAAGUCUUACACUCUGAUGAUGCUAGUUGCCGCCGAAUUGCUUCCCCUACCAGUUCCUUAAGUUUCUUCUUAUGAUCCCGGCUGGUUUUCUUAUAGAAAUAAAGAUCUUUUUCCAACUGCUGGAUUUUAUCUUCAUAUGUUUUGAAAGUUUCCAUAAUGCCUUCUCCAUCUUGUUCUAUACAACAAAAAUUUGCAUUUAAAAUCAGUUUUAAAUAAAUGAUGCAAAAUUAUG
RNAcentral lists this long non-coding RNA (5276 nucleotides) under Homo sapiens (human). Its description in RNAcentral is "HSALNT0353279". The record is from RNAcentral. Lineage: Eukaryota; Metazoa; Chordata; Mammalia; Primates; Hominidae.